This 475-nucleotide ribosomal RNA is filed under the name uncultured bacterium. RNAcentral describes it as "bacterial SSU rRNA". It matches the Rfam family "Bacterial small subunit ribosomal RNA", at positions 38 to 507 of the family's 1533-position model. The record is from RNAcentral.
GGCGGCAUGCCUUACACAUGCAAGUCGAACGGCAGCACGGAGCAAUCCUGGUGGGCGAGGUGGACGAACGGGUGAGUAAUAUAUCGGAACGUGCCCAGUCGUGGGGGAUAACGUAGCGAAGCUACGCUAAUACCGCAUACGAUCUAAGGAUGAAAGCGGGGGAUCGCAAGACCUCGCGCGAUUGGAGCGGCCGAUAUCAGAUUAGCUAGUUGGUGAGGUAAAGGCUCACCAAGGCGACGAUCUGUAGCUGGUCUGAGAGGACGACCAGCCACACUGGGACUGAGACACGGCCCAGACUCCUACGGGAGGCAGCAGUGGGGAAUUUUGGACAAUGGGCGCAAGCCUGAUCCAGCAAUGCCGCGUGCAGGAUGAAGGCCUUCGGGUUGUAAACUGCUUUUGUACGGAACGAAACGGUGAGCUCUAAUACAGCUUGCUAAUGACGGUACCGUAAGAAUAAGCACCGGCUAACUACGUG